CACGUGGGUAACCUGCCUGUAAGACUGGGAUAACUCCGGGAAACCGGGGCUAAUACCGGAUGCUUGUUUGAACCGCAUGGUUCAAACAUAAAAGGUGGCUUCGGCUACCACUUACAGAUGGACCCGCGGCGCAUUAGCUAGUUGGUGAGGUAAUGGCUCACCAAGGCAACGAUGCGUAGCCGACCUGAGAGGGUGAUCGGCCACACUGGGACUGAGACACGGCCCAGACUCCUACGGGAGGCAGCAGUAGGGAAUCUUCCGCAAUGGACGAAAGUCUGACGGAGCAACGCCGCGUGAGUGAUGAAGGUUUUCGGAUCGUAAAGCUCUGUUGUUAGGGAAGAACAAGUACCGUUCGAAUAGGGCGGUACCUUGACGGUACCUAACCAGAAAGCCACGGCUAACUACGUGCCAGCAGCCGCGGUAAUACGUAGGUGGCAAGCGUUGUCCGGAAUUAUUGGGCGUAAAGGGCUCGCAGGCGGUUCCUUAAGUCUGAUGUGAAAGCCCCCGGCUCAACCGGGGAGGGUCAUUGGAAACUGGGGAACUUGAGUGCAGAAGAGGAGAG
Molecule: ribosomal RNA, 562 nt
Filed under: Bacillus subtilis
Lineage: Bacteria; Bacillati; Bacillota; Bacilli; Caryophanales; Bacillaceae
Description: bacterial SSU rRNA
Rfam family: Bacterial small subunit ribosomal RNA
Source: RNAcentral